This 24-nucleotide non-coding RNA is filed under the name Arabidopsis thaliana (thale cress). The record is from RNAcentral. Lineage: Eukaryota; Viridiplantae; Streptophyta; Magnoliopsida; Brassicales; Brassicaceae.
AGUUUGUCCGCUUGGGCCGCUGUA